This 109-nucleotide non-coding RNA is filed under the name human gut metagenome. RNAcentral's name for it is "NiCo riboswitch". It matches the Rfam family "NiCo (Nickel/Cobalt) riboswitch aptamer". The record is from RNAcentral.
ACAGUACAAACUGAGCAGGUAAUACCAUAAACGGUAUCAGCCGGGCUGCGCAGGCAGCAGCGGAUGUAGCUAUAAAAUUAUUGAUCUUACAGCACAUCUGCGGGACAGU